Molecule: long non-coding RNA, 5149 nt
Organism: Mytilus californianus (California mussel)
Lineage: Eukaryota; Metazoa; Mollusca; Bivalvia; Mytilida; Mytilidae
Exons: 2
Source: RefSeq, a predicted model, not a curated record
AAACAUGACUGGAGCGGCCCCACCCCCCCUUUUAGGUCAGUCAGCGGGCCCCCCCUUUUGAAAAGUUCUAGAUCCGCCACUGCUUGGUACAGGUUUGAAUUUGGAUUGUAAUUAAAUAUUUGACAAAUAAUAGUUUUUUGCCACAGAAUAACUGUAGUCAAAGAACUUACAAAUUGGUAAUAUGAUUUGAAUCUAUAUUCAAUUUUUUGCUUUUGUGCAAUACACUAUGCUGUUGCAAAUUGAGCCCCUCCCCCCUAAAUGAAAUUGACCCCGUUUUUUUUUUUUUGCUUUUGUGCAACAUAUUAUCCUGUUGAAUAUUAACCCCCCCAAAAAAAAUAUUUGAAGAAAUUUCUUUUUAAUUUUUAAAAUCUGAAAUGAGAAAAAAUAGUUCCCCCCCCCCCCCCCCCCCACCCCCAAUUUUUUUUCACCUCUCUUUCCCUUAUUCCAAAACAAGUUGCUUUCUUUAAACAAGAGGCUCUCAAGAGCCUGAAUCGCUCACCUGUAUUUCAGAGGAGAAGAUUUUUAAAUGUUAGCAAACUUAGCUUGAUGAACAAAUUGUGUAAAAUUGUCUUUAAAGGGCAAUAACUCCUUAAGGGGUCAAUUGACAAUUAUGGUCAUAUUAACUUUUUUGUAGAUCUUACUUUGCUGAACAUUAUUGCUGUUUACAUUUUAUAUAUAUCUAUAAUUAUAUUCAAAAUAAUAACAAAAAACUGCAAAAUUUUGUUAAAACUACCAAUUCGGUGGCAGCAACCCAACAAUGGGUUGUUCGAUUCGUCUGAAAAUUUCAGAGCUGAUAGAUCUUGACCAAUUGAACAAUUUUACCCAUUGUCAGAUUUGCUCUAAAAGCUUUAGUUUUUGAGAUAUAUGCCAAAAACUGCAUUUGACCCCUAUGUUUUAUUUUUAGCCAUGGCGGCCAUGUUUGUCGAUGGAUCAAAACUUCGGAUACAAUUUAUAAACUAGAUACCCUAAGGAACAUUUAGUUAAAGUUUGAAGGUAUUUGGCCCAGUAGUUUCAGAGGAGAAGAUUUUUGAAAUAGUUUACGACAGACGACGGACGCCAAGUGAUGGCAUAAGCUCACAUGGGCCCUGGUGAGCUAUAAAAGAAAAGCAAUACGUGAACCUAAGACCGCUGACUGCCGGGUCACCAAAUUUGUGUUUGCUUUUGAAUUGAAAUACAGUGGCAGAUCCAGAAAUUUUCAUAAGAGGGGGGCCGCUCCAGUCAUGCUUCAGUGAUUCCCUAUAUAAUCAACCAAAUUUUUCCCACAAAAGGGGGGGCCCAGGCCCCCUGGAAAACUCUCUAAAUCCGCCCCUGAAAUAAUUGACUGUGAAUAGAAGAAGCCAGUUGAAAGUGUAUAUUUACAGCUACUAUUUGAAUAUACAUUUUAAAGCUUGACUAUUUUAUUUAUUACUUGGGAAUGUACAUAAUUUUUCCGAUUAUAUCCCUUUUGCAAAUCCCAAUUUCUACAAACCGGAUGACUUAUGCAAAUUGCACAAACCAAUCGCAAUAUAAAUUAGUGCACUCAGUUUGCUUUAUAAUCUGGAAUUCUAGAUGCAUUUAUUUUAUCUAUCAUAUCUUUAUAUUUUGUUUCCUGCAUGGAUGCCUUUUUAUUCUCAAGUCGUUACUCAUGGUAGAUGUUGUAUAGAUAAAUUUAAAGUCCAAUUUCCAUGUGCGACGAAACCUGUGGCAUCCAAUUGAUUGAGAUCUCUUAUAAAGAGACUUAUUUUUUGGUCUCAUAAAACAUCUAAAAUUUUAAGGAUUUCCUGAUUUUACUUAAAUCAAUUCAAACAUUCUACAGGGAAACUUGGUUUUGCCGAAGAAUAUCUUAAUUCAGAAGUUUUAUGAAUACCUGUAGUCCUGUACACACUUUCAAAAUAACCAAUUUAUAUAAAAAGAUAUGUAGAUAAAAAAAGAUACCAGAAUUAAAAUGAUGUAUGCCAGACGCGAGUUAAGUCUACAAAAAAAGCAUCAGUGACCCUCGAAUGAAAAAAAUUAAAAGGCUAAAUAAAUUACAAAGUUAAGGAAUCUAUACCUUUGGUAGACAAUCCUUAGUUUUUCGAAAAGGUCAAAGUUUAUUAUAGGACAGUGAGUAAAAAAAGAAACAAAAGAGAAACAGCUAGAGGUCAGAAUACCAUUAAUAAUGAUGACCGUUCUUGAAAGUCACAUGACAAGCUCUUUCUGCCGUGUCCUGAAUUUAGAAAAGAAAAACGAAAAUGCCAUUUCACGAGUGAAAUUAGUAUUAUUGCAUGCUAGCAGUAUUUUAGUGCACGAAAUAGUAAAUAGAAAGCAUACACACUGAUACUCAGGAAAAGAAUACGCAUUUUCGUCAUCACAUAUAUUAAUCUAAUAGUUGAAUUCGAAUGUCAAACUACCUACAUCAAAUGUUGUGACUCCGGAUUCAUUGACAUUUUAUACCGAAUUUUUUUGAACGCAAACCGAUAGUUUGUGUUUGAAAUGUGAUCUAUAGUGUGAAUGAAUCAAGACGUGAAGGAUAGUUGGUCAACACAGUGAAUACAAUUUUCAAAACUGUACCAUAUGGCACAAAUGUCUAGAUGCUAUAUAAUAAGGUUAAACUAUUAAAACAAAUAAACAUAAAUAGAAUUGAAAUUUUAUAAUAAACAUACAUUCCUGUUAAUAAUUUUUUUCAAAAAAUUUUGAAUAUACAUAUAUAUAAUAUCAAUAAACACAAACAUCAAGUAUUUACGGAUGGACAUUUUAUUUAUCGAAUGAAUCAAUUUUUAAAUUCUAACAUUCCACUAUAUAAAUAAACAUCCAUACUUGAACAGUAUAACAUAAUUAACAUUAUGGGAGUAAUUAAAUUUUGUUAUGAUUAUUGUAAAUUAUUAUUACUUUUUUAGCUCACCUGGCCCGAAGGGCCAAGUGAGCUUUUCUCAUCACUUGGCGUCCGUCGUCCGUCGUCGGCGUUAACUUUUUACAUUUUGAACUUCUUCUAGAGAACCACUGAAUGGAAUGAAACCAAACAUGGCAUGAAUGUUCCUUAUGAGGUGCUGACCAAGUGUUGUUACUUUGUAGCCGAUCCAUCAUCCAAGAUGGCCGCCAGCGGGGGACUUAGUUUAACAUAGGACCCUAUGGGAAAUGCAUACAAAUGACUUCUUUUAGAGAACCACUGAAUGGAAUGAAACCAAACAUGGCAUGAAUGUUCAUUAUGAGGUGCUGACCAAGUGUUGUUACUUUGUAGCCGAUCCAUCAUCCAAGAUGGCCGCCAUCGGGGAACUUAGUUUAACAUAGGACCCUAUGGGAAAUACAUAAAAAUGUCUUCUUUUAGAGAACCACUGAAUGGAAUGGAACCAAACAUGGCAUGAAUGUUCCUUAUGAAAUGCUGACCAAGUGUUGUUACUUUGCAAUCGGUCCUUCAUCCAAGAUGGCCGCCAGCGGGGGACUUAGUUUAACAUAGGACCCUACGGGAAAUACAUACAAAUGUCUUCUUUUAGAGAACCACUGAAUGGAAUGAAACCAAACAUGGCAUGAAUGUUCCUUAUGAGGUUCUGACCAAGUGUUGUUACUUUGUAGCCGAUCCAUCAUCCAAGAUGGCCGCCAGCGGGGGACUUAGUUUAACAUAGGACCCUAUGGGAAAUACAUACAAAUGUCUUCUUUUAGAGAACCACUGAAUGGAAUGAAACCAAACAUGGCAUGAAUGUUCCUUAUGAGGUGUUGACCAAGUGUUGUUACUUUGCAGUCGGUCCAUCAUCCAAGAUGGCCGACAGCAGGGGACUUAGUUUAACAAAGGACCUAUGGGAAAUACAUACAAAUGUCUUCUUUUAGAGAACCACUGAAUGGAAUGAAACCAAACAUGGCAUGAAUCUUCCUUAUGAAAUGCUGACCAAGUGUUGUUACUUUGUAGCCGAUCCAUUAUCCAAGAUGGCCCAGCGGGGGACUUAGUUUUACAUAGGACCCUUUGGGAAAUACAUAAAAAUGUCUUCUUUUAGAGAACCAAUAAAUGGAAUGGAACCAAACAUGGCAUGAAUGUUCCUUAUGAGAUGUUGACCAAGUGUUGUUACUUUGCAGCCGAUCCAUCAUCCAAGAUGACCGACAGCGGGGGACUUAGUUUAACAUAGGACCCUAUGGGAAAUACAUACAAAUGUCUUCUUUUAGAGAACCACUGAAUGGAAUGAAACCAAACAUGGCAUGAAUGUUCCUUAUGAGGUGCUGACCAAGUGUUGUUACUUUGCAGUCGGUCCAUCAUCCAAGAUGGCCGACAGCAGGGGACUUAGUUUAACAAAGGACCUAUGGGAAAUACAUACAAAUGUCUUCUUUUAAAGAACCACUGAAUGGAAUGAAACCAAACAUGGCAUGAAUCUUCCUUAUGAGAUGCUGACCAAGUGUUGUUACUUUGUAGCCGAUCCAUCAUCCAAGAUGGCCGCUAGGGGGGGAAGGGGGGGCUUAGUUUAACAUAGGACCCUAUUGGAAAUACAUACAAAUGUCUUCUUUUAGAGUACCACUGAAUGGAAUGAAAUCAAACAUGGCAUGAAUGUUCCUUAUGAAGUGCUGACCAAGUGUUGCUACUUUGUUGCCGAUUUACUGUUCAAGAUGGCCACCAGGAUAUUUUAUUAAAUAACGGGACCAAUAUUAAUCAAAAUUUGGCCUCAAUCAUUAUUUGGGUAUCUGUUAUGAUUUUUAUCUAUCUUUACAUGAUUUCUAAAACCAAAGUAGAGUCAGGUGAGCGACACAGGCUCUUGAGAGCCUCUAGUUUUGUGAGCUGCAAGGAUUUAAAAUCAUGCUUUGUGAAUUGAAAACACACAAGUAUUUUUAUUCACGACUGUUUAAAAUUUAAAUAUUUAAUUAAUUUAUCUUACUUUCCGUUUUAUGGAUAUAUUACAAUACAAAUAACAAUCACUUAUAAAACCUUACUAAAACGGUAUGAAAUAAUUAACGUAGAAAUAUAAUGAUUAUUGUUUAUCAAGAUUUUUUUUGUAGGAUGCAAGGAUUUAUUCAGAUUUAAUUAUUAUGUUUCCUUUACAAAUGAAUAUUUAAAAUACCAAAGCAGAGUAUCCUGCCAUAUAAAAUAUUUGUUCCUUAAUUGCAACUAUGAAAAUAUUCUGACUGCAAUUAUUGUUAGUUUCUUCAGACGUAUUUUUGUAUAUAUUUCUUUGAUUUCGAUAAAAUUAAUUGAAUUAAAUAUUUUUGAUAAUAA